Molecule: ribosomal RNA, 459 nt
Filed under: uncultured Sphingobacteriales bacterium
Lineage: Bacteria; Pseudomonadati; Bacteroidota; Sphingobacteriia; Sphingobacteriales
Description: bacterial SSU rRNA
Rfam family: Bacterial small subunit ribosomal RNA
Source: RNAcentral
CCCGCACAAGCGGUGGAGCAUGUGGUUUAAUCGAUGAUACGCGAGGAACCUUACCUGGGCUCAAAUGUAUGUUGACGUAUUCUGAAAGGGAUACUUCUUCGGACAAUAUACAAGGUGCUGCAUGGUUGUCGUCAGCUCGUGCCGUGAGGUGUCGGGUUAAGUCCCAUAACGAGCGCAACCCCUAUCAUUAGUUGCCAUCAGGUCAAGCUGGGGACUCUAAUGAAACUGCCUACGCGAGUAGUGAGGAAGGUGGGGAUGACGUCAAAUCAGCACGGCCCUUACGUCCAGGGCUACACACGUGCUACAAUGGCCGGUACAAAGGGCAGCUACCUGGUGACAGGAUGCUAAUCUCAAAAGCCGGUCUCAGUUCGGAUCGGAGUCUGCAACCCGACUCCGUGAAGCUGGAAUCGCUAGUAAUCGCGCAUCAGCCAUGGCGCGGUGAAUACGUUCCCGGGCCUU